CCAUGACUUCUUUUCUACUUAAUAUUUAUUUAAACUUGCUUUCAUCUGAUGUCAGUGUGUGUGUGCAUGUGUGUUUGUGCAUGCCCAAGCACAUGUGACUGUGCUCCUCAAUCUUGAGUGUCCAUCAGAAUCUCCUGGAGGGAUUGGUAAUACAGUUUUCUCGGCCUUACUCCAGAUUUUUUAAUUCAGCAGGUCUGGGUGGGACCUAAGAAUUUGAAUUUCUAACAAGUUCCCAGUGAUGCUGAUGCUGCUGUUGAGGGACCAUACUUUGUGUACUACUGGCAUAUGGAACGGGGGAGCCUGUGAAACUUUUAAAAAUGCAAAACAAAUCUUUGAGCACAAGACAACAAAUGUAUUGGACAGGUCAUGGACGAACAACCUACUCCUGUGCAAGGAAAGCAAACUGAGCUACCUGAGCUUAGCUGAAAUCUUACCAGUCGUUGGGCCUUGUGGUUAAGAAGCUGCCUUUGGGGGAAACGGAGGUCCUGUCCAGUGUACUGGGGUUGCCAUGAAUUCUGGAAAUGACUGUCCCUGGGUCAUUCCCAGAACUACCCAGUCAGUUCUUCUCCACUGGGCUCAAUCCAGCAGGUACAUCAAAGUGGACUUGAACGGGCAAAGAUUUCAUCUGACUUCUACGGCUUUCAAGCAACUACAUAACAGAAGGCUGCUGCAACCCCCAGAUGGCCAUGGAGGUAGCCAGGUGGCCAAGAAUUUCAGUUAGAGAAAACUCCAUUUGCUUCCCAUCCAAGAUGAUCGCACAUUUUCCAGGGCCUUUGCAUAUGAUGUCCCUUGGACCCCUCUCCCCAGGUCCCGCCAGCACCUCCUUCGGAUCUGGAUGGAGCCCUAGUCACAGCUCUGACCACAAGGCUGAUAAUGGAGUCUUCCUUAUGCUGAUGAAUGAAGUGACCCUUAAUAAGAUGCAACCAGGCCAGAAAAAGCCAAAUGAGAAAGUUGGCAGCAUUAACUUCCAGGGACACCUGCAGCUGUGCAGAGAAGACUUUUCCAGAUCUACCUCUAGCUGGUGGUCGUGCAGAGGAAGGACUUUGUGCAGAUCCACGUGUUUCCAGAGUGAAGUCCCAGGGGUUAGGCUAGGCUGUGUGUGUAGCAGCUAUAGACCCAGACAUGACCAGGCAUCCUGCAGCCCCAAAAGGUGGCCUCCUGGGGGCUACAUGUAGGAGCAACCACACACCUUAUAAGAGGUGAGCUUCAGAUGGGAAAUUCUGUCCUCCAGAAUUCCUCUAAGGGAAACCACAGAGUUUGCUAGAAGGAAUGACUUGAUGAGCCCUCUUGGGGUAGGAGGAGAGGUCCUAGGGAGGGUGUGUUGGCUGGCUCCAAGACUUUGGGGUGAGGGUAGCAGUGUGAUAGAGGAGGGGAAUUUGGAUCCUCUAGAGGUCAAUCCAAGGAGAAGGUGAGGAGAAGAGGCAGGAGGAGGGAAGAGAGAAUACAGUAAGGCUGUGUGUUCCACAGUCAUUCCCCCUCACCCCAUCACCACUGUAUUUGACUCAGAACUUAAUCUAAAUGGAUGAAGGGACUAAGGUUGAGGUCUGCACGGCAGUGGGAGUAGGGAGGGCAGUGCGCUACAUGGGCAAAGUAGGAAUAGCACAUGGGCAUUCAGGAGCUGGACCCCUGAACAGAAGGUCUUGGAAUUAGCAGACAUUGUAGCCAGAACUUUAGACUCUCGGAGGCCAUACAGAUGGCUGGGACCCAAUCUCUGUAUCUCCAAGGAUAUCUGGGUUAUAUAUGGAAAGAGAGAAGCAAGCUUGGCUAAGAAUAAUGGGGAAAGCUGUGCCACUCAUAUUUCUAUUUCCACCCUCUCCCAGCAUCAAGCCAGCAAAUAAUAAGCUCAAUAAGGCAAUGAUCCUGAUGGAGCCCGUCAGCCACCUCUGGGAGUGUGAGGAAACUGAGAUCCAGACAGGGCAGUGAUGUGCCACAUUCCGCACCAUUUCUGGAAUGGUGUGCCAUUCUGUGCCAAUGCUGAACUCUGGAGGAGGAGAGAGACAACAGAGGACACCUGACAGCGUAUGGGAAUAAGAGUGGAGACCUUACUCCGGACUCUGGUCUGGCUUGGAAGCAUUCGAGAGGGGCUAGAAGUCCCUAAUUUUGUAGGUGGGAGAGGAACAGAGAAAUACUGUUUUGUUACUAUUGUCAUUUCUGUUUUGUAGACUCAGUUGAAUACCACUAGGACGGGUCACACGAUUUUGAAUGUGUUAACACCUCGGCCAUGGAGCAGCCAUCUGGUAGGAAAGCAUUUACCCAGGCAAAGUGCUCUGGUGAUUUAGAUGAGUCAGUGACUGGGUGACAACGGCCAGAAGUCAGAAAAUGGGGAGAAGAGGCACCAUGUGGCAGAGAUUAUGCUAGAUCAGCAUUCAAACACCUGAGUGCAAGUUCCUGCCCUAUUGGUGGGCAGAUUACUUAUUACUUAUUGUCUGUGAUACUCGAGAGACAUCAGUGAAACAGGAUAAUGUCCCCAAUGCCACAGCAACAGACCCCCUCAUCAAGGCACAACCCCAUAGUUUGUAAGCUGCUGCUGCAAUCCUUUCUGCCCCUGACUUUAUAAAUGAUCCCCUCUAAAGAAAAAAUGUAAAUUCAUGGUGAGUUUUGUAAGCCUCAAUUGUUUCACCUGUGAAAUAGAAUCAGUAACCCCUACCUCCUACGUCUACUACAUGUUUAUGAGAUAAUGGCUGUAAAUGUAUUUCACAAACUGUAAAGUGUUGCACGUGUAUAAAUGACCACCAUUAGGUUAAACCACCUGAUAUUCAGUCAUUUUAGAACUACUACAAAACAGAAAUUUCACAUGGUUCGACCUAAAACUAUCAUUUUUUUGUGAUUAUCAACAUUAGGCUGACAAAUCGCAUUUGUGGAGAUUUCAGAAAAAGGUAGGUUUAAAAAUGGACUUUUGGGGAUCCCUGGGUGGCUCAGUGGUUUAGCGCCUGCCUUUGGCCCAGGGCGUGAUCCUGGAGCCCCGGGAUCGAGUCCCAUGUCGGGCUCCCUGCAUGGAGCCUGCUUCUCCCUCUGCCUGUGUCUCUGCCUCUCUCUCUCUCUCUCUCUCUCUCUCUCUCUCUGUGUGUGUGAUCCUCAUGAAUAGAUAAAUAAAAUCUUUAAGAGAAAUAAAUAAAAAUGGACU
This 3124-nucleotide long non-coding RNA is filed under the name Vulpes vulpes (red fox). RNAcentral's name for it is "lncRNA (ENSVVUG00000016465.1)". Lineage: Eukaryota; Metazoa; Chordata; Mammalia; Carnivora; Canidae. The record is from RNAcentral.